Molecule: unclassified non-coding RNA, 268 nt
Filed under: Hevea brasiliensis (rubber tree)
Lineage: Eukaryota; Viridiplantae; Streptophyta; Magnoliopsida; Malpighiales; Euphorbiaceae
Source: RNAcentral
GGAAAGUGGAAACCUCUUGAUAAGCACUAGCAACAGCUCCAAGAUCUAGAAAAACGAGUAGAAUCACCAUAGCAGCAGCUAGUGAACCCAUUCUCAUCAGCUAGCUUACGUGCCUGAAUCUUGAAAUUGACAGAAAUAUCUGUACUUCCUCACCAAUGAAGCAUUGCUUUUCCAACCACCAGUCUCUGAAUGGUUAAUUAGCACCUUGUAGUUAACCAGACGAGGUAACAGUUAGUGGAAGCUACAAGCUGAACAACUAACUCACUAA